GCAAUGUCUUGUGUCUUCAUUGGCUUGGGGAAAACAAUCUCAAGCUGCACUGAGGACUAUACCAGCAGAAAGAGAAGCAAGGGCUCACAAUUUACCCUGCUUACAGAUGAAUAUAAGAAAUUCCAGAUGUUCUGCUUCUCUGAAAAAAGGAAAUAUGGCCAUUUUAACGAUAUCAUUUGGCCUCAGGGUCUAGCUAAUGCUGAUAGAUAAACACAGGAACCAAAAUGCAAUAAAACAAAAGAACAGCACCCAGGAGGGACAUCUAAAGGUAACCCAUUACAUCAGCAAGAACUGAAUGGACAUGACAUUACUUGGAUUCAGUAAUAAGUAUGAAAUAUGAAGAGAGAGGUUA
Pantherophis guttatus is the source of this 352-nucleotide long non-coding RNA. RefSeq lists it as uncharacterized. The record is from RefSeq and is a predicted model, not a curated record. Lineage: Eukaryota; Metazoa; Chordata; Lepidosauria; Squamata; Colubridae.